UUUUGAAUCCUGGCCAACAGGUACAUGAUCAGAGAAAAGAAGCAGAGAAAAAGAAGCUUGAAGAAUCUUCACUAAAGGCUUUUCAAAGAUUGCCCAGAGAAAGACCCUUGAUAAAUAGCAAAUUCAGAGACAGGGAUCAUUCUUGUCAUUGUGUCUCAGAAGAUAGCAACUCCCCUAUUACAAAUGAUAAGAUGCUGGCUUCUACUAAAAAAAAGAUGGUAAGCUGCAGCCAGUCCUCCCAAUGUGUAGGAGUUGGUUCACACCACAGUAGAAAAACCCAAAGGCAAUACAGUCCUAGGACACCCAGAUCCAAAUCCUGGUGUGUCAGACCCAUUAGCAGAGGUCAGAGUUAUAUCUCUCUGAGGGAAAGUCACAGAAGCAAGCACUGUGGGCUGUCAAAAAGAAGUGCUCAUGGCUGUGAAUCAACCUACAGGGUGGCAUCUUUGAGCCCAGUCCACCGCGUCCAAGCUUGUUUAACAGAUAGAAAGAGUUGUAAAUGUGCAUCUAAAGGAGAAGGUGAAUCUCAAACUGGAGGACAUUGUGACAGUCUC
RNAcentral lists this long non-coding RNA (551 nucleotides) under Rattus norvegicus (Norway rat). RNAcentral's name for it is "long non-coding RNA NONRATT022273". The record is from RNAcentral. Lineage: Eukaryota; Metazoa; Chordata; Mammalia; Rodentia; Muridae.